The sequence is a ribosomal RNA, 435 nucleotides long. It matches the Rfam family "Bacterial small subunit ribosomal RNA", at positions 341 to 792 of the family's 1533-position model.
ACGGAAGGCAGCAGUGGGGAAUAUUGGGCAAUGGGCGAAAGCCUGACCCAGCGACGCCGCGUGAAGGAAGAAGGUCUUCGGAUUGUAAACUUCUUUUAUGAGGGACGAAGAAUGACGGUACCUCAUGAAUAAGCCACGGCUAACUACGUGCCAGCAGCCGCGGUAAUACGUAGGUGGCAAGCGUUAUCCGGAUUUACUGGGUGUAAAGGGCGCGUAGGCGGGAAGGCAAGUCAGAUGUGAAAUCCAUGGGCUCAACUCAUGAACUGCAUUUGAAACUGUCUUUCUUGAGUGUCGGAGAGGUAGAUGGAAUUCCUAGUGUAGCGGUGAAAUGCGUAGAUAUUAGGAGGAACACCAGUGGCGAAGGCGGCUUACUGGACUGUAACUGACGUUGAGGCUCGAAAGCGUGGGGAGCAAACAGGAUUAGAUACCCUGGUA